This 451-nucleotide ribosomal RNA is filed under the name uncultured bacterium. RNAcentral describes it as "bacterial SSU rRNA". It matches the Rfam family "Bacterial small subunit ribosomal RNA", at positions 354 to 796 of the family's 1533-position model. The record is from RNAcentral.
GUGAGGAAUAUUGCGCAAUGGGGGAAACCCUGACGCAGCGACGCCGCGUGGGUGAUGAAGGCCUUCGGGUUGUAAAGCCCUGUUGGAGGGGAAGAAAGGGCGUGUAGCUAAUAUCUGCACGCAUUGACGGUACCCUCUGAGGAAGCACCGGCUAACUCCGUGCCAGCAGCCGCGGUAAUACGGAGGGUGCGAGUGUUAUUCGGAAUUACUGGGCGUAAAGAGCACGUAGGCGGAUAGGAAAGUCAGAUGUGAAAGCCCGGAGCUUAACUCCGGAACUGCAUUUGAUACUGCCUGUCUUGAGUGUGGUAGAGGGGGGUGGAAUUCCCGGUGUAGAGGUGAAAUUCGUAGAUAUCGGGAGGAACACCAGAGGCGAAGGCGACCCCCUGGGCCAUAACUGACGCUGAGGUGCGAAAGCGUGGGGAGCAAACAGGAUUAGAAACCCCGGUAGUCC